AACGCUAGCUACAGGCUUAACACAUGCAAGUCGAGGGGCAGCAUGAACUUAGCUCGCUAAGUUCGAUGGCGACCGGCGCACGGGCGAGUAACACGUAUCCAACCUGCCGAUGACUCGGGGAUAGCCUUUCGAAAGAAAGAUUAAUACCCGAUGGCAUAGUUCUUCCGCAUGGUAGAACUAUUAAAGAAUUUCGGUCAUCGAUGGGGAUGCGUUCCAUUAGGUUGUUGGCGGGGUAACGGCCCACCAAGCCUUCGAUGGAUAGGGGUUCUGAGAGGAAGGUCCCCCACAUUGGAACUGAGACACGGUCCAAACUCCUACGGGAGGCAGCAGUGAGGAAUGUUGGUCAAUGGACGAGAGUCUGAACCAGCCAAGUAGCGUGAAGGAUGACUGCCCUAUGGGUUGUAAACUUCUUUUAUACGGGAAUAAAGUGAGGCACGUGUGCCUUUUUGUAUGUACCGUAUGAAUAAGGAUCGGCUAACUCCGUGCCAGCAGCCGCGGUAAUACGGAGGAUCCGAGCGUUAUCCGGAUUUAUUGGGUUUAAAGGGAGCGUAGGCGGACGCUUAAGUCAGUUGUGAAAGUUUGCGGCUCAACCGUAAAAUUGCAGUUGAUACUGGGUGUCUUGAGUACAGUAGAGGCAGGCGGAAUUCGUGGUGUAGCGGUGAAAUGCUUAGAUAUCACGAAGAACUCCGAUUGCGAAGGCAGCCUGCUGGACUGUAACUGACGCUGAUGCUCGAAAGUGUGGGUAUCAAACAGGAUUAGAUACCCUGGUAGUCCACACAGUAAACGAUGAAUACUCGCUGUUUGCGAUAUACAGUAAGCGGCCAAGCGAAAGCGUUAAGUAUUCCACCUGGGGAGUACGCCGGCAACGGUGAAACUCAAAGGAAUUGACGGGGGCCCGCACAAGCGGAGGAACAUGUGGUUUAAUUCGAUGAUACGCGAGGAACCUUACCCGGGCUUGAAUUGCAACUGAAUGAUGUGGAGACAUGUCAGCCGCAAGGCAGUUGUGAAGGUGCUGCAUGGUUGUCGUCAGCUCGUGCCGUGAGGUGUCGGCUUAAGUGCCAUAACGAGCGCAACCCUUAUCGAUAGUUACCAUCAGGUUAUGCUGGGGACUCUGUCGAGACUGCCGUCGUAAGAUGUGAGGAAGGUGGGGAUGACGUCAAAUCAGCACGGCCCUUACGUCCGGGGCUACACACGUGUUACAAUGGGGGGUACAGAAGGCAGCUACACGGCGACGUGAUGCUAAUCCCGAAAGCCUCUCUCAGUUCGGAUUGGAGUCUGCAACCCGACUCCAUGAAGCUGGAUUCGCUAGUAAUCGCGCAUCAGCCACGGCGCGGUGAAUACGUUCCCGGGCCU
RNAcentral lists this ribosomal RNA (1353 nucleotides) under uncultured bacterium. RNAcentral describes it as "16S ribosomal RNA". It matches the Rfam family "Bacterial small subunit ribosomal RNA", at positions 32 to 1381 of the family's 1533-position model. The record is from RNAcentral.